GGCAGUUCUUGGGUGACACACCCUGGAAUCGGGCUCCCUCCUCUCUGGUUCUGGAUGUGUCACCCAAGAACCACA
Non-coding RNA from Myotis lucifugus (little brown bat), 75 nucleotides. The record is from Rfam. Lineage: Eukaryota; Metazoa; Chordata; Mammalia; Chiroptera; Vespertilionidae.